Molecule: ribosomal RNA, 798 nt
Filed under: uncultured Staphylococcus sp.
Lineage: Bacteria; Bacillati; Bacillota; Bacilli; Caryophanales; Staphylococcaceae
Description: bacterial SSU rRNA
Rfam family: Bacterial small subunit ribosomal RNA
Source: RNAcentral
UGCUUCUCUGAUGUUAGCGGCGGACGGGUGAGUAACACGUGGAUAACCUACCUAUAAGACUGGGAUAACUUCGGGAAACCGGAGCUAAUACCGGAUAAUAUUUUGGACCGCAUGGUUCAAAAGUGAAAGACGGUCUUGCUGUCACUUAUAGAUGGAUCCGCGCUGCAUUAGCUAGUUGGUAAGGUAACGGCUUACCAAGGCAACGAUGCAUAGCCGACCUGAGAGGGUGAUCGGCCACACUGGAACUGAGACACGGUCCAGACUCCUACGGGAGGCAGCAGUAGGGAAUCUUCCGCAAUGGGCGAAAGCCUGGCGGAGCAACGCCGCGUGAGUGAUGAAGGUCUUCGGAUCGUAAAACUCUGUUAUUAGGGAAGAACAUAUGUGUAAGUAACUGUGCACAUCUUGACGGUACCUAAUCAGAAAGCCACGGCUAACUACGUGCCAGCAGCCGCGGUAAUACGUAGGUGGCAAGCGUUAUCCGGAAUUAUUGGGCGUAAAGCGCGCGUAGGCGGUUUUUUAAGUCUGAUGUGAAAGCCCACGGCUCAACCGUGGAGGGUCAUUGGAAACUGGAAAACUUGAGUGCAUAAGAGGUAAAGUGGANNAUUCCAAUGUGUAGCCGGUGAAAUGCGCAGAGAUAUGGAGGAACACCAGUGGCGAAGGCGACUUUCUGGUCUGUAACUGACGCUGAUGUGCGAAAGCGUGGGGAUCAACAGGAUUAGAUACUGGUAGUCCACCGUAAACGAUGAGUGCUAAGUGUUAGGGGGUUUCCGCCCCUUAGUGCUGCAGCUAACGCAUUAA